UGCGCCUACAUAAAUAUAUAUAUAUACAUAACCAUACAUAUAUGUAUAUUAAUGAAAUAAAUAUUUAUUUUUUAAUUAAAUGAAAUAACUAUUUAUUUUUAUAAACGUCACUUCGGUUGCACUGAAGCUAUAAUAUCCUUCAGAAAUAAACAUUUCUUUCAAAUAAAAUAGUUUUCCACACAAGAACUUGAUUUUGAUAGAUCACGCUGUCUUGUACAAUAAUCUAUGCCAAAAUUCCUGAAGAUAUAUUGUCAAAUAAAAAUGUUUUCCAUACAACAACUUCA
Bactrocera neohumeralis is the source of this 284-nucleotide long non-coding RNA. RefSeq lists it as uncharacterized. The transcript is spliced from 2 exons. NCBI's taxonomy places the organism in Eukaryota, Metazoa, Arthropoda, Insecta, Diptera, Tephritidae. The record is from RefSeq and is a predicted model, not a curated record.